RNAcentral lists this small RNA (417 nucleotides) under Streptococcus pyogenes. Lineage: Bacteria; Bacillati; Bacillota; Bacilli; Lactobacillales; Streptococcaceae. The record is from RNAcentral.
AUCAAAAUAACAAGAAGAGAUAACCUUUUAAUCACUGACUAUUUUAUUUAGUCGCCAACUUUAACUACAAUCAAACUUGUUAUUUUGUAGCCUGAUGGCGGUACAGCGAGUUGAGACGACAACUGGGUAUGCAGGUUCGAUUCCUGCCGUCUCAAUCAGCGCCCAGAAGAGGCGCGACCCAGUAUCCCGAAAGGCAGUCACGCACUGAUAUACUGGUUUUUACUUGGUUGAUAGUCAUAUUCCUACCAAUGACGAUUGAUAAAAAAGAUACAUAGAUCGGCUGUAUAGUCUACGUGUACGUAUUCACAACAGAUUGACUCAUUUGAUUAACCGCAAGUAAAACAAGGGUCGCAACCUUGCCUGUGGUUAGUAGGCUUAAUGGUCGUUUAUGCACGUUCGAUUCGUGCAAAGCCUGUU